This 466-nucleotide ribosomal RNA is filed under the name uncultured Pneumocystis. RNAcentral describes it as "SSU rRNA". It matches the Rfam family "Bacterial small subunit ribosomal RNA", at positions 933 to 1324 of the family's 1533-position model. The record is from RNAcentral. Lineage: Eukaryota; Fungi; Ascomycota; Pneumocystomycetes; Pneumocystales; Pneumocystaceae.
AAUUUGAAGCAUGUUGUUUAAUUCGAUAACCCACGAUAAAUCUUACCACUUCUUGUAUAAAGAGUUAUCUCGUUUCUCCAAUCUUUCAAAAAAAAAUUUCUUGAAGAAUUUCCUCCUCGAAAGAGAAAGGAAAAGAAAUUUCUUGAAAAAAAUUCGAGAACUUUGUUAUUCUCUUUACAGGUGUUGCAUGGCUGUCUUUAGUUCGUGUUGUGAAAUGUUUGGUUAAUUCCUCUAACGAACGCAAACCUUAUCUUUAAUUGAUUCUCCCUCCUUAGGGAAAUAUUUAAAGAAAUAUCCUUCGAGAAGAAGGAGUAAUUAGGAUGAAGACAAGUCCUCAUGACCCUUAUGAAGUGGGCUACAGACGUGCCACAAAAAUUUCGACAAUAGGAUGCAAAGAUCCAAAUCUGAGCUAAUCCCCGAAAAGAAAUUUCAGUACCAAUAAGAAUCUGAAACUCNNUUCUUUGAA